Molecule: ribosomal RNA, 648 nt
Filed under: Triticum aestivum (bread wheat)
Lineage: Eukaryota; Viridiplantae; Streptophyta; Magnoliopsida; Poales; Poaceae
Description: partial small subunit ribosomal RNA
Source: RNAcentral
AUGGAUCAAGCAAAGAAAGGGUUCUUGCCUGUGUUACAAGGUGUGAAGUUGAGUAAGACUCAAUGCCCGACCACUGCAGAAGAUAGAGAGAAGAUGAAAGAUGCUCCCUAUGCUUCAGCCAUAGGCUCUAUCAUGUAUGCAAUGCUGUGUACCAGACCUGAUGUGUGCCUUGCUAUAAGUCUAGCAGGGAGGUACGAAAGUAAUCCAGGAGUGGAUCACUGGACAGCGGUCAAGAACAUCCUAAAAUACCUGAAAAGGACUAAGGAUAUGUUUCUCGUUUAUGGAGGUGACAAAGAGCUCAUCGUAAAUGGUUACGUUGAUGCAAGCUUGGACACUGAUCCGGACGAUUCUAAAUCGCAAACCGGAUACGUGUUUACAUUGAACGGUGGAGCUGUUAGUUGGUGCAGUUCUAAACAAAGCGUCGUGACGGGAUCUACGUGUGAGGCCGAAUACAUAGCUACUUCGGAAGCAGCAAAUGAAGGAGUCUGGAUGAAGGAGUUCAUAUCCGAUCUAGGUGUCAUACCUAGUGCAUCGGGUCCAAUGAAAAUCUUUUGUGACAAUACUGGUGCAAUUGCCUUGGCGAAGGAAUCAGAUUUCACAAGAGAACCAAGCACACCAAGAGACGCUUCAAUUCCAUCCGGGAUUUAG